GCCGGGGUAGCUCAGCCUGGUAGAGCGCCGGGCUGUUAACCCACGGGUUCGAAGAAUAGCCUGGCAGACACCCGGUGGUCCGGGGUUCAAAUCCCCGCCCCGGCG
RNAcentral lists this transfer RNA (105 nucleotides) under Staphylothermus marinus F1. It matches the Rfam family "tRNA". Rfam says of the family: Transfer RNA (tRNA) molecules are approximately 80 nucleotides in length. Their secondary structure includes four short double-helical elements and three loops (D, anti-codon, and T loops). Lineage: Archaea; Thermoproteati; Thermoproteota; Thermoprotei; Desulfurococcales; Desulfurococcaceae. The record is from Rfam by way of RNAcentral.